Long non-coding RNA from Varanus komodoensis (Komodo dragon), 511 nucleotides. RefSeq lists it as uncharacterized. The record is from RefSeq and is a predicted model, not a curated record. The transcript is spliced from 5 exons. Lineage: Eukaryota; Metazoa; Chordata; Lepidosauria; Squamata; Varanidae.
AAAGCCGAGGCAUGCGUUCUUUUCCUUGCUGCUUCCGAGGAGGUUCAUGUGUACAAGCAUGGAUGAAGUGAGCUGUUGCAAAACUAUCCAGGCAGCAGGAGAUGGAGUAACUUGAAAAACUGAGGGAAUUGCUGUCUGCACACCAGGAGGCUCCCAAAAGAGCCCAUGAUUUGAGUUCAGCAAAGAUGUCGGAUCCUUGAGAAGGACUGGAGAAAAGAUGGAAGGCUUGAGGUAAACUUUGGAAGAACUGAGCCACAUAGAUUGGGCAUAGUUAAGAGAAUGCGGCACGAUUUCGUUCAGAUAGAUGUUCUGUGAAAGAAUGACGGGACCUGGCCAUUCCUUAAAGUUCUCCUCUGCCAAGUUUGUUUGGGAGUCUUCAGGGGCUUACCAGAUUCAAGAAUUCUAUUUGUUGCCUGGCUUGACACUCAAGACAUUCACAAGAACAGCCAAGACCUUGAAGACACUUGAAUUCAUUAAUAUUGAUGCACAAUAAAUAAUGAUUUGAACCACA